This 260-nucleotide ribosomal RNA is filed under the name uncultured bacterium. RNAcentral's name for it is "partial 16S ribosomal RNA". It matches the Rfam family "Bacterial small subunit ribosomal RNA", at positions 29 to 319 of the family's 1533-position model. The record is from RNAcentral.
AGCGAACGCUGGCGGCAGGCUUAACACAUGCAAGUCGAACGCACUCUUCGGAGUGAGUGGCAGACGGGUGAGUAACACGUGGGAACGUACCCUUCGGUUCGGAAUAACUCAGGGAAACUUGAGCUAAUACCGGAUACGCCUACGGGAAGGUUACUGCGAGGAUCGGCCCGGCCGUCUGAUUAGCUAGUUGGUGGGGUAAGUGGCCGUACCAAGGCGACGAUCAGUAGCUGGUCUGAGAGGAUGAUCAGCCACACUGGGAC